AUCGCUUCUCGGCCUUUUGGCUAAGAUCAAAGUGUAGUAUCUGUUCUUAUCAGCUUAAUCUCUGGUACGGUCUCCAUAGGGGACCCAGAAGAUUAAACUGAUUUUUGGAAAAUGACGGAGUGCUAGGGGCUUGCUCCACCUCUGUCGCGGGUUGACCCGGUAUUGCAGUACCUCCGGGAACGGCCCACCUAAU
RNAcentral lists this small nuclear RNA (193 nucleotides) under Rhodnius prolixus. RNAcentral's name for it is "U2 spliceosomal RNA". It matches the Rfam family "U2 spliceosomal RNA". Rfam says of the family: U2 is a small nuclear RNA (snRNA) component of the spliceosome (involved in pre-mRNA splicing). Complementary binding between U2 snRNA (in an area lying towards the 5' end but 3' to hairpin I) and the branchpoint sequence (BPS) of the intron results the bulging out of an unpaired adenosine, on the BPS, which initiates a nucleophilic attack at the intronic 5' splice site, thus starting the first of two transesterification reactions that mediate splicing. The record is from Rfam by way of RNAcentral. Lineage: Eukaryota; Metazoa; Arthropoda; Insecta; Hemiptera; Reduviidae.